CAGUCGCCGCGGGAAUACGUAGGUGGCAAGCGUUGUCCGGAAUUAUUGGGCGUAAAGCGCGCGCAGGUGGUUUAAUAAGUCUGAUGUGAAAGCCCACGGCUCAACCGUGGAGGGUCAUUGGAAACCGUUAAACUUGAGUGCAGGAGAGAAAAGUGGAAUUCCUAGUGUAGCGGUGAAAUGCGUAGAGAUUAGGAGGAACACCAGUGGCGAAGGCGGCUUUUUGGCCUGUAACUGACACUGAGGCGCGAAAGCGUGGGGAGCAAACAGGAUUAGAGACCCCGGUAGUCCCUGUCUCUUAUAA
RNAcentral lists this ribosomal RNA (301 nucleotides) under uncultured bacterium. Its description in RNAcentral is "partial 16S ribosomal RNA". It matches the Rfam family "Bacterial small subunit ribosomal RNA", at positions 509 to 809 of the family's 1533-position model. The record is from RNAcentral.